RNAcentral lists this long non-coding RNA (573 nucleotides) under Helianthus annuus (common sunflower). RNAcentral's name for it is "hypothetical non coding rna". Lineage: Eukaryota; Viridiplantae; Streptophyta; Magnoliopsida; Asterales; Asteraceae. The record is from RNAcentral.
CCGGUUUCCAAACUCGGCCGUAAUCAACCGAAACUUCCAAAAUCUCGACACCCCUCGGCACUUAUAUAAAUACCGAACUUCUCCACACCAUCGUUACCCCCCUCCUUCCUCACAUAACCCGGCACCUUAUCACCCUCGAAUCCUCUCAACAAGCUCUCGACACACUCACAACAACUUUUGCACAACCAUACACCCCUGCCGGAGAUCGGAGUUCCAUAAACCACCAGUCGUCGGAGAACUUGAAGUCACCGGAGUUGGAGGUCUCGCUGGAACCGUAGUCACGACGGAGUCUUGUUCCUGUUCAGUUCGAAACCAUGUUCGGCGGAACUCGACUCGUCAUUUUGUUCGGGUAAUCACUUGCAAUCUCUUGGGAUAAUCUCAAUUCUCUACUCGUCCUCUUUACAAGAAAACGCAACGCAAUCUAAGGUUGAUGUUCAAGAAAUAAAGAAAUCAAGCUAGGAUGGAACUAGAAACCCAUUUUAGCAUAGUAUUUUAUUAUGUUUGAAUUAUGAUGUACUUGAAAACAAUGUAUUCCCAUUUGAUAUUUAUGAAAUGAAUUUAAUUCAUAUUGUC